UACGUAGGGUGCGAGCGUUGUCCGGAAUUAUUGGGCGUAAAGAGUUCGUAGGCGGUUUGUCGCGUCGGGAGUGAAAACUCAGGGCUCAACCCUGAGCGUGCUUCCGAUACGGGCAGACUAGAGGUAUGCAGGGGAGAACGGAAUUCCUGGUGUAGCGGUGAAAUGACGCAGAUAUCAGGAGGAACACCGAUGGCGAAGGCAGGUCUCUGGGCCACUACUGACGCUGAGAAGCGAAAGCAUGGGGAGCGAACAGG
Molecule: ribosomal RNA, 254 nt
Filed under: uncultured bacterium
Lineage: Bacteria
Description: partial 16S ribosomal RNA
Rfam family: Bacterial small subunit ribosomal RNA
Source: RNAcentral